RNAcentral lists this ribosomal RNA (250 nucleotides) under uncultured Holophagaceae bacterium. Its description in RNAcentral is "partial 16S ribosomal RNA". It matches the Rfam family "Bacterial small subunit ribosomal RNA", at positions 102 to 339 of the family's 1533-position model. The record is from RNAcentral. Lineage: Bacteria; Pseudomonadati; Acidobacteriota; Holophagae; Holophagales; Holophagaceae.
GACGGGUGAGUAACGCGUGGGGAAUCUACCUCUUUGUGGGGAAUAACGCUCCGAAAGGAGUGGUAAUACCGCAUGAGAUCCAUGGCUGGGAUGCUGUGGAUGAAACCUGGGGAUCGCAAGACCUGGGGCAAGGAGAGGAUCCUGCGUCUGAUUAGCUAGUUGGUGAGGUAACGGCCCACCAAGGCAACGAUCAGUAGCCGGCCUGAGAGGGUGAUCGGCCACACUGGAACUGAGACACGGUCCAGACUCC